CCAGACUCCUACGGGAGGCAGCAGUGGGGAAUAUUGGGCAAUGGGCGCAAGCCUGACCCAGCAACGCCGCGUGAAGGAAGAAGGCUUUCGGGUUGUAAACUUCUUUUCUCAGGGACGAAGAAAGUGACGGUACCUGCAAAGGAAGCACCGGCUAACUCCGUGCCAGCAGCCGCGGUAAUACGUAGGUGGCAAGCGUUGUCCGGAUUUACUGGGUGUAAAGGGCGUGCAGCCGGAGAGACAAGUCAGAUGUGAAAUCCACGGGCUCAACCCGUGAACUGCAUUUGAAACUGUUUCCCUUGAGUGUCGGAGAGGUAAUCGGAAUUCCUUGUGUAGCGGUGAAAUGCGUAGAUAUAAGGAGGAACACCAGUGGCGAAGGCGGCUUACUGGACUGUAACUGACGUUGAGGCUCGAAAGCGUGGGGAGCAAACAGGAUUAGAUACCCUAGUA
Molecule: ribosomal RNA, 447 nt
Filed under: uncultured bacterium
Lineage: Bacteria
Description: bacterial SSU rRNA
Rfam family: Bacterial small subunit ribosomal RNA
Source: RNAcentral